GGGGUCAAUUUUCUUGUACUCUGCUCUCUGGUUAUUCAAUUCCAAGCUUCUUUCUCUCACUCUCUCUCUCUCUCUGUCUCUCUGAACUCUCAUGAUACACAUAUGGAGAAAAUAAAUGAGUGGUCUGGUGCAAUCGGAUGUGGUAUAAUUGGUGUAGUAUUAUUGAGCUUGAUAUGGGGAUCAUGGAGAAUAUUGAAUUGGGUAUGGUUAAGACCGAAGAAGCUAGAGAGUUGCCUCAGAAAACAAGGUCUCAAUGGAAACUCAUACAAGCUCUUCUUCGGAGACAUAAAAGAGAACUCCGCCAUGAAUAAAGAAGCUAGCUCCACUCGCAUCAGCAUCUCCGAUGACGCAGUGCCUAGUCGUGUCUUGCCCUUCAUUCAUACCCAAAUCUCCAACUAUGUUGCAGGAAAGAAGUCUUUUACGUGGUUUGGACCAAUACCUAGUGUUACCAUCAUGGACCCUGAACUUGUAAAGGAGGUCUUGUCUAAGAAUUUCAAAUAUCAAAAGGCCAAGUCUAAUCCAUUUGUCAAGUUGUUAGCCAAUGGACUAACUAGCCUUGAUGGUGAGCAAUGGGCUAAACACAGAAAAAUCAUCAACCCGGCUUUCCAUAUGGAGAAGUUGAAGCAUAUGGUACCUGCAUUUUAUUUGUGCUGUAGUGAGAUGAUAAACAAAUGGGAGAACAAUAUUGCCUUAACAGAAGGGUCAUGUGAGGUGGAUGUGUGGCCUUAUCUUCAAACUUUGACUAGCGAUGUGAUAUCUCGCGCAGCCUUUGGUAGCAACUAUGAAGAUGGAGGAAAGAUAUUCAAACUUCAGAAAGAACUACUUGUACUUAUAAUCCAGACUGUCAGUACAGUUUACAUCCCAGGCUUGAGGUUUUUGCCAACUAAGAGGAACAGGAGGAUGAAAGAAAUUGACAAAGAAAUACAUGUUACACUGAGUGUUAUCAUUGAUAGAAGAAUGAAGGCAAUGAAGGAAGGAGAAACUAGUAAAGACGACUUACUGGGUAUAUUACUAGAAUCCAAUCUCAGAGAAAUCGAACAGCAUGGGAAUAACAGGAAAGAUGGAAUGACUAUUGAAGAAGUUAUUGAAGAAUGCAAGCUAUUCUAUAUUGCUGGGCAGGAGACCACGUCGAUUUUGCUUGUGUGGACUAUGAUUUUAUUAAGUAGGCAUCAAAAUUGGCAACAACGUGCAAGGGAAGAGGUAUUGCAAAUAUUUGGGAACGACAAACCCAACUUUGAUGGCUUAAAUCGCCUCAAAAUUAAAAAAUUGUGUUCCAUCACUGCACUUCCUCCAUCUGAAACGGAUACCACUUAUGAUGAUUGGUGCAGCGAGGAUUCUUGUGUUAUGGGUUGGCUUUGGUAUAGCUUGGAACCUAUUGUUGUUACCACUGUUGAGUUUUGUGAGACGUCUAAGCAAAUUUGGGAUUCUCUUGCUGAUUCUUUUUCGCAUCAGAGUGAUGUGUCUCGGGUGUAUGAUUGUAUGAGCAGAUUUUUGCUACUAAGCAAUCUAGUCGACCACUCUUUUACGUAUCACAGCAGCCUUACACAUCUGUGGGAUCAGUUGUUACAACAUCGACCUUUCACUACGGACUUUGGGAGGAGUUUAUGGUUUCUUCUUUGCUCAUUGGUUUAGAUUCCAAUUUGCGUGGCUUCAAGGAUUAUAUUUUGGCCAGCGAGAUUUUACCUUCAGCAGCCAAUGCUUGUUCUCGCUUAUUAUGAUCUUCUUUGGGACACAAUUCUAGUAUUUCUGGCUCUGCUCGUUCGAUCGGUGCUUUCUCUGCUUUGGUUUAUGGUCGGGUACCACUCUUAGUGGGUCUCGUGGCAACUUUGGGUCUCGUGGUUCCCAAACUAGUUAUCAUGGGAAUAGUUCCCGUGAUAGUGGUUCAUAUCAUGGCUCACGUGUAGUGGUUCACGUGGUGGUCGUGGCUCAGCUUCUCAUGGUGAUUGGAAGUGUGAUUAUUGUGGUUCCAUUGGUCAUACUGAGCCUUGGUGUUGGCAAAAGUAUGGCGAGCCUAAUCAUGUAAAUCAGGUCUUUGAUGUUACUACCUCGUCCCCGACUCCCUUUGGCUCUAUAGCUCAUCAUUUGAUUCUCACAAGGCACUCACUACUUGGAUUAAUGAGCUUAUUUCCAUUCUUUGGUCUGCUCUUCCCUCAUCCUCUACUGCCACCUUGGUGGGUUCAGGACCUCAAGACCAAGAAGAUGAUUGGUUCAGACAUGAGCAGCAAGGCCUUUAUUAUUUGGAUACUGACAACUCCUGUCUCCCUUCAACUCCUAUUCUGAGUGCCACCAUUUCUCCUUUGCAAUGACAUUUUCGUUUGGGUCAUUCGUCUUUGGCCAAGUUGAAGUUUGUUGUUCUUGGUUUUAGUCAUGUGUCUACCGUAGAAUGUGAAGCUUGUCAGCUUGGAAAACAUCACCGUAGUUCUUUUUCUAGUCAUAAUGUUAGUCGUGAGUUUGAGUCCUUUGAUGUAGUCCACACGGACAUAUGGGGUCCUUGUACUUUCACCCUUCAUGGUUUUUUAUAUUUUGUUAUUUUUGUGGAUGAUUUCUCCCGAAUGACUUAGUUGUUUUUAAUGAGAAAUCGCUCUAAGUUCCUCACGUAUUAUUCACGUUUUAUAAUGAAAUUUAAACUCAGUUUGUUAAGUGUAUUAAAGUGUUUCGUUCUGAUAAUUCAGUCUAUUGUGAACUCCUUUUGUGUUGAUCGAGGUAUCAUUAAUCAGACUACUUGUGCUCGCACUUCUCAGCAAAAUGGGGUCGUUAAACGGAAACACCGUCAUGUAUUAGAUGUUGCUCGUACCUUAUUAUUCAAGUGCCUAAACACUUCUAGGCGAUGCUUUCCUUACAACAUGUUUUCUCAUUAAUCGUAUGUCAUCAGCUGUGUUGCAUAAUCAGUCUCCGUUCUCCUUGUUAUAUCUUUUUUGUUCCUCAUUCCCUUUUCCACCUCGGGUUUUUGGUUGUGUAGCAUUUGCUUAUGUUCUUGAUCUUAGUCAGGAUAAGUUGUCCCCCUCGUGCUCGCAAGUGUGUUUUUUUAGGCUAUUCUUAUACACAAAAGGGUUAUCGUUGUUAUCAUCCUGAGUCCCGUUGUUAUUUGGUCAGUGUUGAUGUCACUUUUUUUUGAGUCCACCUUGUUCUUCUCUACACAAGGCCAACAGUUGUCUCCAAAUCUGUUCUCGUGUCGUGAGAGGGAGCCUUUCUUUCCCUCAGCCACUCCUAUAUCUACUCUUCCCAUGCUUGAUGUGUUCUCAUCUUCCAUUCUUUCAUCUCCUCUUCUGCUGCCACAUGUGCCUCCCCUCCGUCUUCUCCAUUGCCCACUUCGUCUUCUCCAUUGCAGGUCUAUCAGAGAUCCCACAAUUGACGAUUAGUACAUCUUCUCCGUCUGAGGUUCCUGUUCUCUUUUCUCCUCUAGCCUCUACUAAUUUGCCUAUUGCUUUGCGUAAAGGUAAACGUAUUUGCAUUCAGCAUUCUAUUUUCAAGUUUGUUUCCAUAUGCUUGUAUUUCUCUUGUUUUGCUUUCCUUUGCUUGUAGUUUGUCUUCUCUGUCUAUUCCCACUUCUUAUCGACAGGCUAUGUCCAGCUCUAGCUAGAAACAU
Molecule: non-coding RNA, 3586 nt
Organism: Camellia sinensis
Lineage: Eukaryota; Viridiplantae; Streptophyta; Magnoliopsida; Ericales; Theaceae
Source: RefSeq, a predicted model, not a curated record